GACGGAAGGUGCAAGCGUUGCUCGGAAUCACUGGGCGUAAAGGGUGCGUAGGCGGCCUGGUAAGUCUGGCGUGAAAGCCCAGGGCUCAGCCCUGGAAGGGCGCUAGAAACUGCGAGGCUGGAGUGCCGGAGGGGAGGGUGGAAUUCCUGGUGUAGCGGUGAAAUGCGUAGAUAUUGGGAGGAACACCGGUGGCAAAGGCGGUUACCUGGACCGGUACUGACGCUGAGGCGCGAAAGCUAGGGUAGCAAACAGG
RNAcentral lists this ribosomal RNA (253 nucleotides) under uncultured bacterium. Its description in RNAcentral is "partial 16S ribosomal RNA". It matches the Rfam family "Bacterial small subunit ribosomal RNA", at positions 524 to 776 of the family's 1533-position model. The record is from RNAcentral.